GUUUGUCUCUUCCAGACUCAAAGCUGUAAAACUGCAAAUGGUUCCUCAUAUGGAGCCCCAGAUGCAGUCCAUGACUAAGAUCUACCACAGAGCCCUAGACCGGCCUGUUAGCCCAUGCUCCGAUGUUGAUGACAUCAAAGGCACACCUUCCGAGGAAAUCUCAACUGCACGACCCCUACUAAGCCCCAAUUCAGCAGGAAGCAGUUAAGAGCAGUCGUUGGCUAACAUCCCCAAUAGUAUGUGGGUUUUCCUGUUGAGAGGGGGGACUGAGAGACAGGACUAGCUGGAUUUCCUAGGCCAACUAAGAAUCCCUAAGCCUAGUUGGGAAGGUGACCGCAUCCACCUUUAAACACGGGGCUUGCAACUUAGCUCACACCCGACCAAUCAGGUAGUAAAGAGAGCUCACUAAAAUGCUAAUUAGGCAAAAACAAGAGGUAAAGAAAUAGCCAAUCAUCUAUCGCCUGAGAGCACAGUGGGGAGGGACAAUGAUCGGGAUAUAAACCCAGGCAUUCGGGCCGGCAACGGCAACCCCCAUUGCGUCCCCUCCCAUUGUAUGGGAGCUCUGUUUUCAUUCUAUUAAAUCUUGCAACUGCACAAAAACAAAGAGGCAUUAUUUGCAGAUGAAAAAAAUUGCAUAUCCACAUCCAUCUAUUUAUAUAAAUCCCCUUUCGCUCCCGUGCAGUCUGCGCCAUUUGUGGAGAACUGCAUUU
RNAcentral lists this long non-coding RNA (710 nucleotides) under Homo sapiens (human). RNAcentral describes it as "HSALNT0071696". Lineage: Eukaryota; Metazoa; Chordata; Mammalia; Primates; Hominidae. The record is from RNAcentral.